This is a long non-coding RNA of Triticum dicoccoides, 366 nucleotides long. RefSeq lists it as uncharacterized. The record is from RefSeq and is a predicted model, not a curated record. Lineage: Eukaryota; Viridiplantae; Streptophyta; Magnoliopsida; Poales; Poaceae. The transcript is spliced from 3 exons.
GCAUGAGUUCCCAACAAAUAUUCCAGCAACUGCUAACAGGAUUGAUACUGCUUUCCACGUUCUGCAUAUCAUGAGAAAUUGGGAUGCAAAAUGCUUAGUCAAUCCAGUCUCUAGUGACUCUCGAGAUUUGCGGAAGGUCUUCCUUGCCAACCUCCUGUCAUUCACAAGUAAUGAGGCCAUACUCCCAGAAAGUGUCAACUACUACAUCAAAGCACUCAGGAGGAACUGAUACCACAUCCCGCAACGACGAAUAAUAAAUAGGCCGACUGAAUAGACAAAUUUUCAAUUUCAAUAUGUAGUGAAUUACGUACUACCUUUUUUGUUUUUGAGAAAACAUACUACAUUUGAUGGAAUAUUCUACCUUUU